This 73-nucleotide transfer RNA is filed under the name Ovis aries (sheep). It matches the Rfam family "tRNA". Rfam says of the family: Transfer RNA (tRNA) molecules are approximately 80 nucleotides in length. Their secondary structure includes four short double-helical elements and three loops (D, anti-codon, and T loops). Lineage: Eukaryota; Metazoa; Chordata; Mammalia; Artiodactyla; Bovidae. The record is from Rfam by way of RNAcentral.
UCCCUGGUGGCUCAGGUGGUAAAAGUGUCUGCUUAUAAUGCGGGAGACCUGGGUUCGAUCCCCGGGUGGGGAA